AGAGAGAGAGAAUGAUGAAGCGAAUAGCUUUGCCUUGAGCUUGUUCAACACUGCCGCGUGGCUGGCUGGCUGUGUUGUGUGAUCCGUGUAUGUAUUAGCGCGUCUGGCGCGACACGUUUCGCUUAUAUACUAGUUUAUAGCCGUGCCUGUGACUGCAGGAGGUCCACGCCACACGCCGUGUUCGUUUGUAUAUGAAACUGCAAUGGUUUAGUUUUUACGAGCACAUCAAAGAGCCGCACGUCUCAUUAAGUGUUUUUACAGCGGACCGCUUGCAAGGGAGGAUUGCUUGUUUACAGCAAGUAAUUUAAUUAAAGAUUCAUGUUAUACCUUCACUGUUUUAAUUAAAUCAUGGUCAUAAGAGUUGAGGGUAAUGAGCAGCAUGUACGUAGCUCUUUGUGUGACGCUCGGUGAGACAUGCAACACUGUCUGUCUGUCGGUCUGUCUGUCUGUCGGUAGUGGGAGUUAACACGAUACUUGGGAACACUGCGCCGACUCCUUAAGCAGUCAAGGCCUAAGUGAAACACGGGAUUCAUUGUCCGAAGCACCAACGACACGAGAUGGCAACCCAAACACACACACACACACACACACACACGUGGUAAUGGCUCUCCCGCCCACCUCAUCUCAGCAAAUGUUUGUUGGCAGUUUUCCACAUUAAUAGGCCGCAAUUUUCCUUAAGUAAAGUCGUCUUGGUCUCGUUCGGAGUAAAUUACCAUCAUCACAGUAGUUUGUAGUUUAUUUUUUCAUCCAACACUCUCAGACUUCCCCACACGUCAUAUUGGCAAUUCUCUCCUUCCCCCACCAUUCUCUCUCUCUCUCUCUCUCUCUCUCUCUCUCUCUCUCUCUCUCUCUCUCUCUCUCUCUCUCUCUAUCGGCAACCACAACGUGCACACCUUCCCUCCUCUCCUCACCUCAGACUCUGUUGACUGAUAACUAACGUGCUUAAUUUCCCAUUGGUUUGUACCGGAACUCCGCCAGUCCCUACGCACCACAGAUGACAACUCUGCUAACGCCUGUCAGCCUCCAGUGAUCCCUCGUUACAAACUUUUCUGGACCCUGACCGGAGGAGGCAAUGAGUGUUGUUCUGUCUGCCUGCCUGGCCGUGAAUAGGCUAGUGAGUUGCCCGCUAGGUAUCCUUACAGACCUCAGACCUCGCCGUAUUGCUCGAAAUUAAACCAAGUACUGCUAGUUAAUUCAGACGGGUCGCAAUUACUAUGGACUCGUGGAAGACCAAAGCUUUUCCGCUCGAAUCAAGGUCUUAACGAAGGCGAUGAAACACCUCCACCGAACCCAAGUGAAGGCGAGCAGACGGAGUGGCGGGCAGGAGUGGUGGGUCAGUGGCUUCUUACCUUGACCUCCGUGAACACAGUGGAGAGCCUGUGAGCUGCAAACACCACAACUUCACGGCGCCUUUGUCCCCCCUCGCCUGGCUGGUUGUCUUGCAUCUCUCCGACACUCCAAUUCGUGACUCAGCCUCCACUCGUCCGUGAAUCCCCGAUGCACCCUCACCACCACUACCUUUAUCAUCACCGCCCCUUCAAUAGAUUGGCUUCUGAGGGCAGCUCCAUUGUCCCUAACCCCUCUCUGUCCGGAUUACGUUGCGUCUAUUUUUGUUUGUAAUGAUUUAUUUCUAUGUGUUUGUUCUGUCAUUG
Long non-coding RNA from Scylla paramamosain (green mud crab), 1652 nucleotides. RefSeq lists it as uncharacterized. The record is from RefSeq and is a predicted model, not a curated record. NCBI's taxonomy places the organism in Eukaryota, Metazoa, Arthropoda, Malacostraca, Decapoda, Portunidae. The transcript has 2 exons.